Long non-coding RNA from Callithrix jacchus (white-tufted-ear marmoset), 930 nucleotides. NCBI's taxonomy places the organism in Eukaryota, Metazoa, Chordata, Mammalia, Primates, Cebidae. The record is from Ensembl.
CGGACUAUUGGGGUGGGAGAAUCCAAAGUUUAGGGGGAACCUAUUCUGUUCUGUAUAAAAAUAGUCCUACUCACUCUAUUGCUUUGCAAGGAAAACAUCAAUUAGAUUGAACAAUGUUCCCUGCAGAAUGUAGAUGCCGCGUUGUCUCUGGACACCUCCUUUGAGUUCGCUUUGGACUGCGUUGUGUCUUCUGUUGGGAGGAAAUUAUCAACAACAAGAGGAAAUCCUGGACUAGUAUUGAAUAGUCCUCAUUUUAAAGCACUGUUCACAAUUGCCAAGAUUAGGAAGCAACCUAAGUGUCUAUCAACAGACGAAUGGAUAAAGAAAACAUAUACACAAUGGAGUACUAUUCAGCCACGAAAAAGAAUAAGAUCCUGUCAUUUGCAGCAACAUGGAUGGAACUGGAGAACAUUAUGUUAAAGUGAAGUAAUAGGCACAGAAAGACAAACUUUGGAUGUUCUCACUCAUUGGGGGAUCUAAACAUUAAAACAAUUGAACUCAUUGACACAAGAGUAGAAGGAUGGUUACCAGAGGCAGGGAAGGGGUGAAAGGGGUGGGGGUGGUGAAAAUGGCUAAUGAAUAGAAAAGUAUAGUUAGAAUGAAUAAGAUAUAGUAUUUGAUAGCACCACAAAAUGACUGCAGUCAACAAUAACUUACUGUACAUUUAAAAAUAACGAAAAGUGUAAUUGGAUGUAACACAAAUAAAUAAUAAAUAUUUGAGGUGAUGGAUACCAUAUUUACCCUGAUGUAAUCAUUAUGUAUGCUUAUAUCAAAAUAUCUCCUAUGCCCCAUAAAUAGAUACACCUAAAAUGUACCCAUAAAAAAUAAAAUUAUAUAAAAAAGAAGGAACCCAUGAGAAUAGUCUUUAGCUCAAAAUCUUACUUCUCUGGUUCAUGAAAGUGAUAAGCAGUAUAUAGGAGAUGCCUGCUA